AGCUAGAAAAAUUUGAAAAACUAGUUGUUAGUUCCUUGAAAAUGUGUAGACUGAUUUUAGGGAUGUGUUUCCAAAAGUCGUUAGUAAAAAAUGUUACCUGGAUAAAACUAGUUAGCUAAAAAUAAAGCAGCUUGAAAUUAGGUAGCUAAUUUUAACUUUUAGCAAAAUUAGAUGAUAAAAGUAGCUAGCUAAUUUCACUACUGUCUGAAUCAUCCUCCAAAGAUUUUGGAUUUUCAUGAACCACUUCAACAAUUUAUUUUGGCCAUUCAAAAGCUUUAGAAAUAAGUUAGAAACAAUUUCUGAACAUUUAAAUUUAAAAUGAAAAACUUUUAUAGUUCAAUUUUUGGCAAAAGAACUAUUUUAUCCCUUACAUUUGGCCUAUUAG
RNAcentral lists this unclassified non-coding RNA (385 nucleotides) under Hevea brasiliensis (rubber tree). The record is from RNAcentral. Lineage: Eukaryota; Viridiplantae; Streptophyta; Magnoliopsida; Malpighiales; Euphorbiaceae.